UCAAGAUAAUCCAGAUCAAGUGCCUUCAAGCUAGCUCUGACAUUUGAACUACGAACUUCAACAUAGAUUGUAAUGCACUUCUCAAGUCUAUUAUUAGCAAUCAGCCUACCAAGGAUUGCUUGCAACUUCUGAAUAACAGUCACAGGUAAGGGCGAUGGUGCAAUGCAUGCCUGUUCGCCUAGUGAAGGUGAUGACAUUGGAAGUGGCACACUAUGCUCCGUCAAUAGUCUUCUAAACUCAUUUUCCAGUUUAUCCAAUGCAGCAUCCAAAAGGCCUCCAUCAAGAUGUACUCUUUCCCCAUCAUUUUGCAACUCCCUUAAGCCCUUGAGCGAUGUCUUCAAAUUUGACAGGUACAUUCCGUCAGCAACUCUGUUAUCCUCCAAAUACUCAAUUAUAUCUUCCAACCAUUGAAUUGCCAGUCCGCAAUUAUCACCCAGAAACCUUAAUGCCUCUUCGAGGCGUUUCAACACUGAUAAAUACCCAGGAAGAUCGUUCCUGGGAUCUGAUAGCAGGGACUUUUCAAGUCCAUGAACAGCAUCGAAAACCUUAAGCACUGCCGCAGCAGGGCCCACAGCUCGGUUAAUAUGGCCCCCGACAGCAACAAGUGCAUCCUUGUCGGCGCGAAUGGGGCGGACAGCAGCUUCUAAGGAAGGCAAUCGUUGGUUGAUCUCCUCUAACCUAGGUCCAGCCUUUUCAAGAGCCAAUCCUAGAGUUCUCGAUUUCUCUAAGCUAAGCUUCAGUGACUUUCUUGCAGCUAUCAAUUUAUCAAUACAAAAAUUGUUCUUGCAGUCGUUACCAGAUGCAGAUUGGUCCAUCUUAGCCCCCAAAGAAAAAUCCUAAUCACAACCCUAAACCAGAAAAACCCAAGCUUGCAACUAUAACUAUGAGUGAACUGAGACUACAAAUUUGAAAAUCUACAAGCAAUACCGCAAUGGGGUUUUUUUCCCUAGCUUACUUUUUUUGGGCGAUUUGAUCAAUUUUAUACGAAUUUAAUUAAGAAAAAACUCUCUUUUUUUUUCUUUUAUUCUUUACCGAACUCUCACCAAAUUAAACCCAAAAACAAAGUGAAUGGCGGAGAAAGCGAGUAAGAAAAACUCACUCCGAAAAUAGUUGAUUGAGAGAGGCGAGGUGAACCGGAGAGCUGAGCUGGAGUGGAAUCUGAAUCGGUGAGUUUUAGAUUCCGAAUUUCCAAGAGAGAAACCCUAAAGUGAAAAUAAGAGAGUAUAAAUAAUCUAAAAAAUUUGUCCCUUUUUUUAAAAAAAGGAAUAAUAUAUAUUAGCAUUGUAGAAAUCGCCGCCAAUGGUUUGCCUAUGGAAUCGUGUUUGGUUCAUUUAUAGCUUCAGGACACAGUAUAUUUGUCUUCAUGUCAUACUAAAGAUUGACUCCAUUUUACUCUUGGUUUAUCAAUAUUCAAAUGCAAGUCGAAAAAUAAUCAGAGCUAAUGAUGGAAAUUGUGUGGUGAAAUAAAUAAAACCAUUGCCCAACCUCAAACUCAUAUUCCAAAAUUAUUACUACCCUUUGUAAAUAAUUACAUUUAACUUUUAAUCAAAUCAAAAGUGAAACUAGAAAUUUUUUUGGGUAUCAAAAUUAUAUUGUAAUUUUUACGAUAUAAAAAAUAUAAUUUUGUAAUUUUUAAUUGUAGGGAGUUAAAAUGUAAUUUUACUUUUAUUAAUUUAAAAUUUAAAAAAAUUUAAAAAAACUCCAUUUUAAGAGGGUUGGGGCCAUUGUAAAUCCCUAAUUUCACCACUGAAUCAAUUUGUCAAUUUUUUGUACUUUACUUUUUUUUUAAAACAUUAUUGAUAUUAGAUUGAGAUCAUGGUAAUUGAUGACAGUUCAUUUAAAUGAUCGAGAAUCAUAAGAUAUAUUAUAAAAGUUUAAGAGGAAGAGAGAUUGUUGAUAGGGAGAAAGAAAGAGAAAAAUCUCGUAAUCGUAAGCUUUUGAGGAUUUUAUAAAUGAUAUUUAUGUCUUUUUUUCUGAUUGUAAAUUAUUAUGUAAGAACAACAUGUAAAUGAGACGCACAAAUGAUAGAGAGAACUUGUAAGAUAAAGGAUAAUUGUUUGAUGAACGAGGGAGGUAGUCUUGUGAGGUGUGUGCAUAUAGCAUAUGAAACUUGGAUUUUACAUUGGCCACCCAACUCUAAAGUUGUCUCAUUUCAUCAGCAUUGAUACACUAGUUUUAAGUUAUAUAAUAGGCAUGGAAUAGAUGAACCCAAUGUUCUUUGGGACUAGAUUUGAUAUAUGAUGAAUUAGAGCCUCUUGAAUUUGAAAUAAUAUAAAAGAGUUAAUACCCCUAAAUAAUUAUUCAGAUUUUAAAUUAAAUUUUAAAAUUUAAAAUGCUUUGAUUGAAUCUUCGAAAUUAUGUUCAUCAUAUCUUUUUUUUUUUUGUGAAGCCAGUAUCAAUUUAGGUAUUAAACACAUAGAUUAGACUACAAAUACGUGAAUAAACAACUGCAUGGACAAUUUAUAUUUGAUAUGAAGGACAAAUAGAGGAUUAUAUAAUAACACAAUACAAUAUAAUUUUGAAACAGAUUUAUCUUAAAAAGACAAAACACCUAAUAAUAAUAUAAUUUCGUAAAGUUAGAUUAAUGUUGAGUACAACUCGUGACACCAACUCGUAAAUAAUAAUGUAUGUAUGUAUGUAUACAUCAGCAGGAUACAGGAAGUUAAUAUUUGCCAGGAUAUGAGCAAAACAAAAGCACAGCUCCAAAAUAUGGUAGAAGAAGAAAGGGAAAGAACAGGAUAAAGAAGAUGCUGAAAUAAAUUCGAAGAAGGAACAUCUAUAUUUAUUAUCCAAUAAGUAAAAAUAAUCCAAGAAACAGCCGAACACUUUAUUCCCAAUGCAGAGGAACUGAGGAAGGUAAGUUCUCAAGGACAUGUACACCCUAUCCUAAUAGCACAAAAUAAUAAGGCAUCUCAUCCAAGUUGAUUCUUUAGGGAAUGCUGAUCUCUUAAUAAAUUAAUUAAUCACAGCUAGCCCCUUCAGUUUCCACUUUUUAUGUCACAAUAUUUGUACAUGAAAUCCACUAAAUUACAAUGCUUUUAUCCCAAACAAGCUAUCAACUAUAUAAUUAAAUAAACAUAAAUAUGAAAUUAAACUUGAAAUGCUAUACCUGGAUGUUAUUCUCUUAUCUACCAACCCAACACUGUUCUUGCUUGUUAUGUCCCCCAAUCCCACCCCACAUUUGCUUUACAGUUGACAAAGCAAAAUCUGCUUCACACAUCAAAUUCUGGCAAUUCCUUGAGUAAUGAAAUGUCAAAUGUCCAAAGCAUGUGCUGUCCAAGGGCAAAGGAUGAAUGAUGGAGAAUAGUUCUACCUCCGCCCUAAGAACACUGAUAUGUACAAGAUAUAAGAUUAAACCUCUAAAACAUGAACAUUUUAACCACCGCAACAUAAAUAGAUUGGACAAUCACGCAACAGCUGAUGCAGUCCGGCGAAGAUCUACCCCAUUAUCAAUUUUGCUGCCUGUUGGCCUACCUUUGAAACUGCCGUACCUUUCCCGCCUCGGUAGAAAAAGAGAAUGGAGCAUUUGUUCCAACCCCUGCACUGUGUACUUUACAUACUUACUGGAACUUGCAUCUUGCUCUACUAAUGGCCCAUAAGUUUGCAUAUAGCUUCGAUAAACAGGUAGAACCGUCUGCACUAUUAGUUGGCAUGUCUUCUCCCUCAAAUCUCUUUCUGGGAUAACCCAACCAGACUGCUUUCUAAACAUCUCAUCAAAAGCUUCAUUAAAAGUCUUGAGCCUUUUCUUUACAAGAUCACGAGCAUUGGCACGGCCGCCUGAUAACAUAAUUAACCCUUCACGGCUUAAAUGAACAGGGAGCUUAGCCCAGCUCUCUCUAAAGAAGACAGCAGAAUAAUACUCCUUGUACUGUUCAUGUUCUUUCAACCAAGAAUCUCCCAUGAGCUCUCCGACUUUUGUUCCCUUUAAGUCUUUGUAUAGAUGCCAGUGGCAGUUCAUGGCAAAAAGACAAGAAAGGGUAGUAUCACCAUACGCCUUCAUCCAUGUAUCCAAAUUCAAAUCGACAGCCUUUAUUAUUUUCGAAACCUCAUUUACAAGGAUCAUCUCCUGGAAUUUUUUAUGCUUCCAACUUUGGUGAAUGACAAGAACUUGGGUCAGGAUCGGCCUAUAAUCAUCACCAAGAAGUUUAUUGCAGUAAUCAGUUAUAGAACUCACCAAUUUCGGAAUGCUCCCAUCCUGAGGAGGAGGGCUCUGCCUCUGUAAUUCCACCUGAACAAAGAUCUCCCAGAAAAUUUCGGCUGCUCCGUCAAUAACCCUCUUGAUGAGAUCUCUUGUCAGGUUUUGGAUCUCAAUACACGCUGCUCCCCCAAAGAGCCUAUUGAAAUCCAAUCUCAAUUUGUUCAAAGAUGCAAAUAUGUCCAGUAGCUUGAGAAGCUUUAUAGGUUCUUUCUUACUCUCCGUAAUAGUCUUUCCGAACUGAAGAAAUGCAAGAAUACCAGCUUGUGCAGCUAUUUUUGCAAAACAACCCAUCCAAACAUCCAAGCCAAUCCUCUCGAAAACAUCGUUGCAAAGCUUGAACUCCGCCUCAAACAAAUGCUUUACUGCAAACUCCAAAUGUUUCCCCCACUGUCCUAUAUACCCCUCUAUGCUCUGCAUAUCAUUGAACUCUGAAACUGAGAUCUCAAGAUAAUCCAAAUCAAGUGCUUUCAAGCUAGCUCUGACGUUUGAACUGCGAACUUCAACAUAGAUUGCAAUGCACUUCUCAAGUCUAUUAUUAGCAAUCAGCCUACCAAGAAUCGCUUGUAACUUCUGAAUAACAGUCACAGGUAAGGGCGAUGGUGCAAUGCAUGCCUGUUCACCUAGUGACGGUGAUGACAUUGGAAGUGGCACACUAUGCUCCAUCAAUAGUCUUCUAAACUCAUUUUCCAGUUUAUCCAAUGCAGCAUCCAAAAGCCCACCAUCAAGAUGUAC
RNAcentral lists this long non-coding RNA (4930 nucleotides) under Gossypium barbadense (sea-island cotton). Its description in RNAcentral is "long non-coding RNA (GBAR_LNC012980)". Lineage: Eukaryota; Viridiplantae; Streptophyta; Magnoliopsida; Malvales; Malvaceae. The record is from RNAcentral.